RNAcentral lists this transfer RNA (91 nucleotides) under Burkholderiaceae bacterium. RNAcentral describes it as "tRNA-Ser". It matches the Rfam family "tRNA". From Rfam's summary of the family: Transfer RNA (tRNA) molecules are approximately 80 nucleotides in length. Their secondary structure includes four short double-helical elements and three loops (D, anti-codon, and T loops). Lineage: Bacteria; Pseudomonadati; Pseudomonadota; Betaproteobacteria; Burkholderiales; Burkholderiaceae. RNAcentral also lists the same sequence under 1 other name. The record is from RNAcentral.
GGAGAGAUGGCAGAGUGGUCGAAUGCGUCGGACUCGAAAUCCGAUAUACGUUUCUGACGUAUCGAGGGUUCGAAUCCCUCUCUCUCCUCCA